RNAcentral lists this long non-coding RNA (648 nucleotides) under Vigna radiata. RNAcentral's name for it is "long non-coding RNA (VRAD_LNC002753)". The record is from RNAcentral. Lineage: Eukaryota; Viridiplantae; Streptophyta; Magnoliopsida; Fabales; Fabaceae.
UCUUAUUUAUUUGUUUGACUGGGCGAGAUGCCAAAUUUUUAUUUUACCACAAACUCGAAAAACACACAAUUAUUCAGACAAAGCACUGGAAAUUCUAAAGCAAAAUAGAGAGAUGGUAGCUCCAUGGUUUAACACAGCAAGUGUUAAACGGCAACAGUAUAAUAAGGGAAAGUAUACUUAGUUCAUUCAUUAGACAUUGAUCAACAAUUACGUGUAUAAUCGGAGCAUGGUGGUGGCGGUGGUGGUUCUGAUGAUGUUGGUGGCGUUGGUGGUGUUGAGGAUGGAAUGCAACUUGUAUAACUCUGACCCGUACAAUUAACAGCAGGAUUAUUAGGAUCUCCUGUCUGAAACGUACCUUCUGCAUAAGAGUGAAUGUCAUUACAUUAACUACAGUUAUCUUUUCUCAGAAAACAGUUGUCUCAAGUUAGAGAGUAUGAUUACCAUUGAGUUCUCGAGCCAUAAUUGAAGUAGGAAAGAAGAAAAGAGAAGCAAAGAAUAAGAAAGCAAUGAAAAUGGCCUUCAUGUUUGGGAAGUGUUUGAUAAUGCUUAGUAUAUGUUAUUCACUUUUCCCUUUGGAUUGGUGUGAAGAGUGUUGUCAUGUAUUUAUAGUCACAAUGCAGUGGAUACGAGAAGACUUGCAGAAAGACU